This 253-nucleotide ribosomal RNA is filed under the name uncultured bacterium. RNAcentral's name for it is "partial 16S ribosomal RNA". It matches the Rfam family "Bacterial small subunit ribosomal RNA", at positions 524 to 776 of the family's 1533-position model. The record is from RNAcentral.
UACGUAGGGUGCGAGCGUUGUCCGGAAUUAUUGGGCGUAAAGAGCUCGUAGGCGGUUCGUCGCGUCGGCUGUGAAAAUCUGAGGCUCAACAUCAGGCCUGCAGUCGAUACGGGCAGACUUGAGUACUGCAGGGGAGACUGGAAUUCCUGGUGUAGCGGUGAAAUGCGCAGAUAUCAGGAGGAACACCGGUGGCGAAGGCGGGUCUCUGGGCAGUAACUGACGCUGAGGAGCGAAAGCGUGGGGAGCGAACAGG